GAUGAACGCUGGCGGCGUGCCUAAUACAUGCAAGUCGAGCGAACGGACGAGAAGCUUGCUCCUCUGAUGUUAGCGGCGGACGGGUGAGUAACACGUGGAUAACCUACCUAUAAGACUGGGAUAACUUCGGGAAACCGGAGCUAAUACCGGAUAAUAUUUUGAACCGCAUGGUUCAAAAGUGAAAGACGGUCUUGCUGUCACUUAUAGAUGGAUCCGCGCUGCAUUAGCUAGUUGGUAAGGUAACGGCUUACCAAGGCAACGAUGCAUAGCCGACCUGAGAGGGUGUUCGGCCACACUGGAACUGAGACACGGUCCAGACUCCUACGGGAGGCAGCAGUAGGGAAUCUUCCGCAAUGGGCGAAAGCCUGACGGAGCAACGCCGCGUGAGUGAUGAAGGUCUUCGGAUCGUAAAACUCUGUUAUUAGGGAAGAACAUAUGUGUAAGUAACUGUGCACAUCUUGACGGUACCUAAUCAGAAAGCCACGGCUAACUACGUG
This 497-nucleotide ribosomal RNA is filed under the name uncultured bacterium. RNAcentral describes it as "partial 16S ribosomal RNA". It matches the Rfam family "Bacterial small subunit ribosomal RNA", at positions 28 to 507 of the family's 1533-position model. The record is from RNAcentral.